CACAGCCUGGUCCUCCCAGAUGAGCUGAUUUUUAUCAAAGUGGGAGAAGCAGGACUUGGCAGAGAGGAUCCCUCCGGGAAGGAAUGCUGGGAGUCCUAAAAUUCCAGAGGCAGGAGUGGAAGCUGCUGGGGUGUACGGUGACUGCAUUGCAGGAAGGGAGCCUCAGGUGACUGACAUCUGUGUCCCCUCUCCUGGGAUGGGUUUGCUGGAGACUCUGUCCUGGAGUCGUGAGAACCCCUCUCUGCAGGCGGGAGCGUGCUGGCUCGGGGACUCGAAAGAGGGAGCAGGCCUUUGAAAGCGAGAAGGGCACGGACGUCGGGAAGAGCAGAGGGAUGCGGAGGGCAGGCAGUGAGGGCACUGAGCGUGCAGACUUCCCUGAGAAGCAGGAGCAGCUGACCAUGACUGAACCCUUUCCAGAAAGCCGCCGGCCAUCUCUCAUGUUGGGGAAGAAGUCAUCUCACGUGGGAAGCCAGAGUAGGACUAUGACAUCUUGGGCUGAAACCGCCUUUGUCUCCCCCAACCUCACACUUCCGUCCGGUUUUCUGAUUUACAACAGAAGCAUUUUGAUUAAAGUGUAAUUGCACCAGGAACACGUGUGUAUAUUCUCCACGUAAGAUGAAGAAAUCUGGGGAGAACACUGAGGUUCUCAUCAACUUCCCCCAUGAGCGCAGAUCUUUCUCUCUUCCCCAGGAAUAACUACUGCUCCCUGUUUGUUCCAUAUCUUCCUGGACUCCUGCCUACCAAUUUACAGCACUGUUAGAGCAGGGGAUUUGAGGGGUGUGUGUUUGUUGCCUGUAUCGGUGUUGGUUUUUCAUGAAAAGUCAACAAAACCAUAGACGGGCUCAUGUGGCAUUUUUUACUCCACAGAACGUCAGGGAGAUAGUUCAAACAUCAUUACUUGUAAAUCUACCUCGUUUUUUAAAACCACGCUCCACUACUAAUGGAUGUUGAGAGUUGUUUCCAGUUUCCUUCUACUAGCUGAGCUGAAAUAAACGUCCUUGUGUGCAGAGGGGGCAUUUCUCCAGUGAGGAAUUUCCAAGGCAUGGAAUUGGCAUCUGCUUUUAAAAUUCCACUGGACGCUCCUACCGGCAGAGCGAAGCAGUACCUGUGUCCCACGCUCGCAUCAACACUCGAUCCUGACAACCCUUUUACCGUUUCAUUAUCAUUUUGUCAAGUGGCCAUUUUAGGAACUGAGACGUGCUCUGCCACACUGGGUCUGUGCUUUGCAGGCAGCCGAUGGACAUUUGCAAGACGUGAAGAUGGUUGGAGCAAAGCGCAGCGUUUCAUUCACAAAAGCUGACUUUUAAAAUCAAAUGACCGACUAUUUGCAGGAUUUUAGCCAUUCACUCUUUCCAGUAGUUAUUUGUAAAAUUGGCAGUCCUCGUAAGUUGUUACCAAAUGAUAAACACCGAGGGUCCGAACGAGAUAUCAUUAAGAAGCCUUACUUUACGUGCAUAAUGGAACAAGCAGCUGCUUCUUUGCCAACAAAAGAACAGUAUUU
Mustela erminea (ermine) is the source of this 1501-nucleotide long non-coding RNA. RefSeq lists it as uncharacterized. The transcript is spliced from 3 exons. The record is from RefSeq and is a predicted model, not a curated record. Lineage: Eukaryota; Metazoa; Chordata; Mammalia; Carnivora; Mustelidae.